AUCCUAUGGUGAGGGUAUUUGUGCAACAAUUCUUUUAACCUUUCUCAUGCCUCAUACAAAGAUUUCCCUUCUUGUUGCUGAAAUCUGGUGAUGUCAUUUCUAAGCUU
Molecule: non-coding RNA, 107 nt
Organism: Morus notabilis
Lineage: Eukaryota; Viridiplantae; Streptophyta; Magnoliopsida; Rosales; Moraceae
Source: Rfam